CUGAUCUGUUUUUUAUUAAUGGCCUUUUUAUCCCUACGCUCUCUACAAAACCUAUAUCGUAUACGCUUUUUCAAAAAACUCUAUAUCCCCUACAGCACGCGACACGCGUGAUUCAAUAUAAUCGAUGCCUCUUCGGUUUCUCCUCGACCAUAUCACCACUCAUCGUUCCAAAAUCACUUUGUGUUCUCCGUCAUAACCAUAAUUUCUGUAUCAUCACUUAUUAUUUUCUGAAGGCUCUCCUGAUUAUAUACACACUUUUCUUCGUAAGUCCAUGGUUCCGACAACACCAAUAUCUUCUCCGGCGACGUUCCCUAUCACCAACCAACAAGCCACUCAACUUCAACACAAAUCAACUCUCACGCUUUCUGCACAUUCCUCUCAUGUAUCUCAUCUCUCCGCCACAGCCUCUCUCACCCCCCCCCAUGGAUGGAACUCAUUGAUUGGAGCUCGCUAGACCUGAUUCUCUCACCUACUCCGCAUACCAGAAUUUCUGCAACACUUGAAUAGCUGGAGCAUGUAGAAACUGAAUAUUUUCAAUAUGGAUGAUUCUAGUUUUUCUGUGAGGACUCAUCAUGUGCGAAGAUAUAGAGAAUAUGUUAAAAUCCAACAAGCGAAGUCCUAAUUCAACUCCUGAAAACGUUGGAAAGGAAGAUGAGAAGCUUAAAGCAGAAAAGAAAAUGCUCAGAUAAGAGAUAUGAACUUACAUAGCCAGCUAGACAGCUACAAAUACAUUAUCGAACAUACUUGUAUUUAUCCAGCUAUAUAUACUUUAUAAUGAAUCAACAAUUUUAUUAUCCGGCUACAUGUUUUUUGUAUGAACCAACGCUUUUAUUAUCCGGAUAUUAAACUUUAUAUUUCUUCCUUAUUAGAGUUAGCAUGCUGUAAAUAUUAUAAUGACACAUGCAAUGGCACAAAAAAAUAUCUACGCCAAUUUUAGUAUCCGGC
Molecule: long non-coding RNA, 945 nt
Filed under: Brassica napus (rape)
Lineage: Eukaryota; Viridiplantae; Streptophyta; Magnoliopsida; Brassicales; Brassicaceae
Description: long non-coding RNA (BNAP_LNC008450)
Source: RNAcentral